UCGAGGGGUAUAUGUCUUCGGAUAUAGAGACCGGCGCACGGGUGCGUAACGCGUAUGCAAUCUACCUUUUACAGAGGGAUAGCCCAGAGAAAUUUGGAUUAAUACCUCAUAGUAUAGUGACUCGGCAUCGAGAUACUAUUAAAGUCACAACGGUAAAAGAUGAGCAUGCGUCCCAUUAGCUAGUUGGUAAGGUAACGGCUUACCAAGGCUACGAUGGGUAGGGGUCCUGAGAGGGAGAUCCCCCACACUGGUACUGAGACACGGACCAGACUCCUACGGGAGGCAGCAGUGAGGAAUAUUGGACAAUGGGCGCAAGCCUGAUCCAGCCAUGCCGCGUGCAGGAUGACGGUCCUAUGGAUUGUAAACUGCUUUUGUACGAGAAGAAACACUCCUUCGUGAAGGAGCUUGACGGUAUCGUAAGAAUAAGGAUCGGCUAACUCCGUGCCAGCAGCCGCGGUAAUACGGAGGAUCCAAGCGUUAUCCGGAAUCAUUGGGUUUAAAGGGUCCGUAGGCGGUUUAGUAAGUCAGUGGUGAAAGCCCAUCGCUCAACGGUG
This 554-nucleotide ribosomal RNA is filed under the name uncultured bacterium. Its description in RNAcentral is "bacterial SSU rRNA". It matches the Rfam family "Bacterial small subunit ribosomal RNA", at positions 62 to 617 of the family's 1533-position model. The record is from RNAcentral.